UACGGAGGGAGCAAGCGUUACUCGGUAUUACUGGGCGUAAAGGGCCAGUAGGCGGCCAACUAAGUCACACGUGAAAUCCCCAGGCUUAACCUGGGAACUGCGUGUGAUACUGGAUGGCUUGAAUUCGGGAGAGGGAUGCAGAAUUCCAGGUGUAGCGGUGAAAUGCGUAGAUAUCUGGAGGAAUACCGGUGGCGAAGGCGGCAUCCUGGACCGACAUUGACGCUGAACGGCGAAAGCUAGGGGAGCAAACGGG
This 253-nucleotide ribosomal RNA is filed under the name uncultured bacterium. RNAcentral describes it as "partial 16S ribosomal RNA". It matches the Rfam family "Bacterial small subunit ribosomal RNA", at positions 524 to 776 of the family's 1533-position model. The record is from RNAcentral.